This 170-nucleotide ribosomal RNA is filed under the name Abudefduf notatus (yellowtail sergeant). RNAcentral's name for it is "partial 12S rRNA". Lineage: Eukaryota; Metazoa; Chordata; Actinopteri; Pomacentridae. The record is from RNAcentral.
CACCGCGGUUAUACGAGAGGCUCAAGUUGAUAGACAACGGCGUAAAGAGUGGUUAAGGAGCCCAUUAAAACUAAAGCCGAACGCCCUCAGAACUGUUAUACGUUUCCGAAGGUAAGAAGCCCCACUACGAAAGUGACUUUACUCCCCCUGACCCCACGAAAGCUGCGAAA